RNAcentral lists this long non-coding RNA (209 nucleotides) under Hordeum vulgare. RNAcentral describes it as "long non-coding RNA (HVUL_LNC004804)". The record is from RNAcentral. Lineage: Eukaryota; Viridiplantae; Streptophyta; Magnoliopsida; Poales; Poaceae.
CAUUGAGGAGUUUGAGAUAUUUGAAGAAUAUCGACCCCUAAAAAUAUAUAUCUUCGGUUGAAGAAAUUGGUCUGAAGCUGAAGAAAUGAAUCGCGAGGAAUCUGCGGUGAAAUUGAUAUUCCUCAUGAAGAUACUGAAACUGAGGAAUCCGGUGUAUCCUGAAGAAAAUCACUCUGAAGAAUUUGAAGCAUGAAGAUUUACACUUUCUG